RNAcentral lists this ribosomal RNA (468 nucleotides) under uncultured bacterium. RNAcentral's name for it is "partial 16S ribosomal RNA". It matches the Rfam family "Bacterial small subunit ribosomal RNA", at positions 28 to 507 of the family's 1533-position model. The record is from RNAcentral.
GACGAACGCUGGCGGCGUGCUUAACACAUGCAAGUCGAACGGAAAGGCCCUGCUUUUGUGGGGUGCUCGAGUGGCGAACGGGUGAGUAACACGUGAGUAACCUGCCCUUGACUUUGGGAUAACUUCAGGAAACUGGGGCUAAUACCGGAUAGGAGCUCCUGCUGCAUGGUGGGGGUUGGAAAGUUUCGGCGGUUGGGGAUGGACUCGCGGCUUAUCAGCUUGUUGGUGGGGUAGUGGCUUACAAAGGCUUUGACGGGUAGCCGGCCUGAGAGGGUGACCGGCCACAAUGGGACUGAGAGACGGCCCAGACGCCUACGGGAGGCAGAAGUGGGGAAUAUUGCACAAUGGGCGGAAGCCUGAUGCAGCAACGCCGCGUGCGGGAUGACGGCCUUCGGGUUGUAAACCGCUUUCGCCUGUGACGAAGCGUGAGUGACGGUAAUGGGUAAAGAAGCACCGGCUAACUACGUG